Molecule: long non-coding RNA, 266 nt
Filed under: Mytilus galloprovincialis (Mediterranean mussel)
Lineage: Eukaryota; Metazoa; Mollusca; Bivalvia; Mytilida; Mytilidae
Source: RNAcentral
CCCCCAAAAAGUGUACAUCAACCAUUUUCAGAUUUCAAGAGAAGAAUCAGUCAUUCUUAAUAAAAAGAAGAUCCUGUCUAUUAUAUUUUAGUUUAAUAUAGAAAUUUGCUUUGAAAAAAAACUAAAACAUAUCUGACUGUUUUAUUUGAUGACAUCUAUCUAUGCUUGUGUUUUGUCAGAAUAAAGAGUACAAAAAUUAGUGUUUCCCCUAUCACACAGUGGUAAUGGUAACUCCAAUAAAAAAGGGCACCUAGAGCAUGCAAAAG